RNAcentral lists this ribosomal RNA (913 nucleotides) under uncultured Bacillota bacterium. RNAcentral's name for it is "bacterial SSU rRNA". It matches the Rfam family "Bacterial small subunit ribosomal RNA", at positions 56 to 965 of the family's 1533-position model. Lineage: Bacteria; Bacillati; Bacillota. The record is from RNAcentral.
UGCAAGUCGAACGCGCAGUUUUCUGUAGCAAUACAGGAAGCGGGCGCGUGGCGAACGGGUGCGUAACACGUGGGUAACCUACCCCCGAGUGGGGAAUAACCCCGCGAAAGCGGGGCUAAUACCGCAUAACAUUCCGAUGCCGCAUGGUAUUGGGAUCAAAGCCCGCAAGGGCGCUGGAGGAGGGGCCCGCGGCCGAUUAGCUUGUUGGCGAGGUAAUGGCUCACCAAGGCGAUGAUCGGUAGCCGGUCUGAGAGGAUGGCCGGUCACACUGGAACUGAGACACGGUCCAGACUCCUACGGGAGGCAGCAGUGGGGAAUCUUGCGCAAUGGGCGAAAGCCUGACGCAGCGACGCCGCGUGGGGGAUGAAGCCCUUCGGGGUGUAAACCCCUUUCGACCCGGACGAAACCCCGCAAGGGAUUACGGUACGGGGAGAAGAAGCCCCGGCUAACUACGUGCCAGCAGCCGCGGUAAAACGUAGGGGGCCAGCGUUGCUCGGAAUUAUUGGGCGUAAAGGGUCCGUAGGCGGUGUGGCAAGUCGGAAGUGAAAUCCUGGGGCUUAACUCCAGGGCUGCUCCCGAAACUGCCGCGCUAGAGUGUGGGACAGGCGAGUGGAAUUGCAGGUGUAGCGGUGAAAUGCGUAGAUAUCUGCAGGAACACCAGAGGCGAAAGCGGCUCGCUGGACCACAACUGACGCUGAGGGACGAAAGCUAGGGGAGCAAACAGGAUUAGAUACCCUGGUAGUCCUAGCCCUAAACGAUCAGGACUGGGCGUGAGUACCGUUUGGUACUCGUGCCGGAGCUAACGCGUUAAGUCCUGCGCCUGGGGAGUACGGUCGCAAGGCUGAAACUCAAAGGAAUUGACGGGGGCCCGCACAAGCGGUGGAACAUGUGGUUCAAUUCGACGCAACGCGAA